UACCAGCACCCCGAGUGGUCGGGACGUUUUUAUUGGGCCUAAAGCAUCCGUAGCCGGUUCUACAAGUCUUCCGUUAAAUCCACCUGCUCAACAGAUGGGCUGCGGAAGAUACUAUGGAGCUAGGAGGCGGGGAGAGGCAAGCGGGUACUCGAUGGGUAGGGGUAAAAUCCGUUGAUCCAUUGAAGACCACCAGUGGCGAAGGCGGCUUGCCAGAACGCGCUCGGCGGUGAGGGAUGAAAGCUGGGGGAGCAAACCGGG
This 258-nucleotide ribosomal RNA is filed under the name uncultured bacterium. RNAcentral describes it as "partial 16S ribosomal RNA". It matches the Rfam family "Archaeal small subunit ribosomal RNA", at positions 474 to 728 of the family's 1478-position model. The record is from RNAcentral.